CAGGCGAUGGGAGGUCGGCGGGGGCGGGGCCCGCACAGUCCCAGCCCCCAUGUGGGCGGAGCCUUCUUCCCGGGCCUAUGUCGCGGCAGAGGCUGGCGGGCUUUGUGCGCAGGCGCUUGUGCCCUCGCGGGGCUGCCCGUGCGCUUCGCCUGUGGGGUCGUGCUGGGGCAGCGGGUAUGCUAUUCGAAGAACAGGUUUCCAUGCUCUCAGAGGAGCAUCAGAAAAUGAACAAACCCCAGAAGUCCAGAAAUU
Long non-coding RNA from Symphalangus syndactylus (siamang), 252 nucleotides. RefSeq lists it as uncharacterized. The record is from RefSeq and is a predicted model, not a curated record. Lineage: Eukaryota; Metazoa; Chordata; Mammalia; Primates; Hylobatidae.